UACGUAGGGGGCAAGCGUUAUCCGGAUUUACUGGGUGUAAAGGGAGCGUAGACGGCUUUGCAAGCCAGAUGUGAAAGCCCGGGGCUCAACCCCGGGACUGCAUUUGGAACUGUGUGGCUAGAGUGUCGGAGAGGCAGGCGGAAUUCCUAGUGUAGCGGUGAAAUGCGUAGAUAUUAGGAGGAACACCGGUGGCGAAGGCGGCCUGCUGGACUGUGACUGACGUUGAGGCCCGAAGGCGUGGGGAGCAAACAGG
RNAcentral lists this ribosomal RNA (253 nucleotides) under uncultured bacterium. RNAcentral describes it as "partial 16S ribosomal RNA". It matches the Rfam family "Bacterial small subunit ribosomal RNA", at positions 524 to 776 of the family's 1533-position model. The record is from RNAcentral.